UAGGGGGAGUUUGGCGACAUAGCUGCUACUGAGGUAAUGGCUGCCCACAGUAGCAGCCAUGUCGCCCUCCUCCCCCUACA
Molecule: non-coding RNA, 80 nt
Organism: Myotis lucifugus (little brown bat)
Lineage: Eukaryota; Metazoa; Chordata; Mammalia; Chiroptera; Vespertilionidae
Source: Rfam